CUAAGUGGCGGACGGGUGAGUAAUGUAUAGUUAAUCUGCCCUUUAGAGGGGGAUAACAGUUGGAAACGACUGCUAAUACCCCAUACUCCUUUCUACUUAAUGUAGAUUGGGAAACGUUUUUUCGCUAAAGGAUGAGACUAUAUGGUAUCAGGUAGUUGGUGGGGUAAGAGCCCACCAAGCCAAUGACGCCUAGCUGGUCUGAGAGGAUGAUCAGCCACACUGGAACUGAGACACGGUCCAG
This 241-nucleotide ribosomal RNA is filed under the name uncultured bacterium. Its description in RNAcentral is "partial 16S ribosomal RNA". It matches the Rfam family "Bacterial small subunit ribosomal RNA", at positions 91 to 334 of the family's 1533-position model. The record is from RNAcentral.